Fundulus heteroclitus (mummichog) is the source of this 1402-nucleotide long non-coding RNA. RefSeq lists it as uncharacterized. The record is from RefSeq and is a predicted model, not a curated record. The transcript is spliced from 3 exons. NCBI's taxonomy places the organism in Eukaryota, Metazoa, Chordata, Actinopteri, Cyprinodontiformes, Fundulidae.
GAGCAUGGUGACACCCGUCUCGCCACGCCGCUGUUCAACGGGGCACGAUGACGUAGAACAUGUGCCGAUGAAGACCACCAAUCAUUGGCGUGGAAAUGUUAAAACGCCGGUGCGCUGCAAUGUUGUGUUAAAAUUAAAUUGGGUCGCAGCGUGGAAAUGCUAAUCUGGUUGAAAUUGAACCGGCUUCAAGUCCGCCAUUAUUAAUGUAGUGUCUGGUCUCGACAUAAAGCGAAAAUGAUGUAUGGAAACCACAGAAUAUGGCCACGAGAAUACCAUCGUGUCUUACCUCUUCGUUUGUCAUCCUUGGUGGGAACCCAGAUCUUUUGGAUCCUGUUCUGGGGCUGAAGUACGACUGGGUCGCCGCCUUUGGGGUCUCCAUUCUGAUGCACGACUCUGUUUGACCCAAGCAUCGACAGAGAGUCUGCCAAAGCCGUCUGGCAGCCCAAAUCCUUACACAUCCAACAACGUACUUAGAAGAUGGACUCACAGCGAGAGAGUCCCCUGGACAAGCCAGCCAGGCAUGGGGCCUGAAAGACCCACCAGCCAACCAUCACAGGGGAGAAAUCCCUCUUCGUCCGGAUGACCUUAUCGGGUGAAUCAGAUUUAAGCCUACAGUCCUUACUUCAGCGUCACACCCCAGAGGACAGAAUCCCUACAUGCCGAAAACAGCUUUGUUAAUUUUUCCACAGGUAUUACAGGAAAGCUGACUAGAGACGGCGUGGAUCGGCCUCCUUUACCCACUUCCCAAGCUGAAAGCAAAAAGGAGCUUAAAUCACGUCAGCAACCGGGUCAGAGACUGCAGGCAGGACGUCGGGCCAGCCUACCCUCGACCACUUGUCGGCUAGCCACAGAGCCGCUAGCACACUGCUGAAAGAACCAACAUUUUCCCUUUCCACUGCUCUCUUCCUUGGACGGCCAAAGUGAAUUGAACUCACACGAGGCACCGACAGGUUUUACAGAGAAAUAAACAUGGAAAGCUAAAUGGUUUGUUUGGAAAUCUUGUGUAACGUCCACAUGGUGUUUUAAACACAGGGCUGAGCAACAUAGCUCCCGUUAGCAUGUUGAUACCAUGUCAUUGCCUAUGAAAUUCGAGUGUGUUUUUAUCGUUAUUACAAAAUAUCUCCACAAGAGUUGUAUACACUGAUGGGAUAUUUAUGUUUGUUUUAUCCUUUGCACUCAUUACGACUAAAUUAAAUCCAAAGUUUUAAAGUUAGGGUUGAAAGUCCGCUAGCCUAAACGCUAUUAGCUUCUGGUGAGAUCUGGUUUCCGGAUAUCCAGCUACGACUCGUUCCAAGCAUAAGCCUUGUUUGUUUCGCUCCUCCAUCAUUCGAUAGUGCUAUGAGCGUUAUUGCCACAUUAAUUAAUAUGGAAUAUUAAUGUCGACUUAAAGGCGUUUUUUUUA